RNAcentral lists this ribosomal RNA (1389 nucleotides) under uncultured archaeon. RNAcentral's name for it is "bacterial SSU rRNA". It matches the Rfam family "Archaeal small subunit ribosomal RNA". The record is from RNAcentral.
UUAGGAUGCUAGUCGACCGACGUUCCGUUAGGAACGGAGGGGCGAACAGCUCAGUAACACGUGGCUAAUCUGCCCUCGCGUGGGGAACAACCUCGGGAAACUGAGGCUAAUGCCCCAUAGGGGUGGUAGUCUGGAAGGACUCCUCCUCGAAAGCUCUUGCGCGCGAGGAUGAGGCCGCGGCCGAUUAGGUAGUAGGUAGUGUAACGGACCACCUAGCCUUCGAUCGGUACGGGCCGUGGGAGCGGGAGCCCGGAGACGGGUACUUAGACAAGGACCUGGGCCCUAAGGGGCGCAGCAUUCGCGAAAACUCCCCAAUGCGCGAAAGCGUGAGGGGGGAACCCCAAGUGCCAGCACAAAGUGUUGGCUUUUCUGGAGUGCAAAAAGCUCCAGGAAUAAGGGCUGGGUAAGACCGGUGCCAGCCGCCGCGGUAACACCGGCAGCCCGAGUGAUGUCCGCAAUUAUUGGGCUUAAAGCGUUCGUAGCCGGCCUGCUAAGUCCCCGGUCAAAUCUGACGGCUCAACCGUCGGCUAUCUGGGGAUACUGGCAGGCUUGAGGCCGGGAGAGGUCAGAGGUACUCCUGGGGUAGGGGUAAAAUCCGAUAAUCCUGGGGGGACCACCAGUGGCGAAGGCGUCUGACUGGAACGGGCCUGACGGUGAGGGACGAAACCCUGGGGAGCGAUCCGGAUUAGAUACCCGGGUAGUCCAGGGCGUAAACGAUGUGGGCUGGGUGUGGGCUAAUCAGAAGGAUUAGUCUGUGCCGAAGCGAAAGCGAUAAGCCCACCGCCUGGGGAGUACGGUCGCAAGGCUGAAAUUCCGGGAGCUAGGGCUAGCUCUCGGAACGGUAAACUUAAAGGAAUUGGCGGGGGGGCACCACAAGGGGUGGAGCCUGCGGUCUAAUUGGAUUCAACGCCGGGAAUCUUACCAGAAGCGACAGCCGGAUGAAGGCCAGGCUGAUGACCUUGCCGGACAAGCUGAGAGGAGGUGCAUGGCUGCCGUCAGCUCGUACUGUGAAGCGUCCUGUUAAGUCAGGUAACGAGCGAGACCCACGCCCUCAGUUGCCAGCAGAUCCGUGAGGAUGCUGGGGACUCUGAGGGGACCGCCAUCGAUAAGAUGGAGGAAGGAGUGGGCGACGGUAGGUCAGUAUGCCCCAAAUCUUCUGGGCUACACGCGUGCUACAAUGGCUGGGACAAUGGGAUGCGACUCCGAGAGGAGAAGCCAAUCCCCCAAACCCAGUCUAAGUCCGGAUUGAGGGCUGUAACUCGCCCUCAUGAAGAUGGAAUCCCCAGUAACCGCGUGUCAUCAUCGCGCGGUGAACAUGUCCCUGCUCCUUGCACACACCGCCCGUCACAUCAUCCGAGUGGGGUGCGGACGAGGUCCGGUCCUUGUCCG